CAGCCGCCACGGUAAUACGUAGGUGGCAAGCGUUGUCCGGAAUUAUUGGGCGUAAAGCGCGCGCAGGCGGAUCAGUCAGUCUGUCUUAAAAGUUCGGGGCUUAACCCCGUGAUGGAAUGGAAACUGCCAAUCUAGAGUAUCGGAGAGGAAAGUGGAAUUCCUAGUGUAGCGGUGAAAUGCGUAGAUAUUAGGAAGAACACCAGUGGCGAAGGCGACUUUCUGGACGAAAACUGACGCUGAGGCGCGAAAGCCAGGGGAGCGAACGGGAUUAGAUACCCCAGUAGUCCCUGUCUCUUAUACA
RNAcentral lists this ribosomal RNA (301 nucleotides) under uncultured bacterium. RNAcentral's name for it is "partial 16S ribosomal RNA". It matches the Rfam family "Bacterial small subunit ribosomal RNA", at positions 509 to 809 of the family's 1533-position model. The record is from RNAcentral.